Molecule: small nuclear RNA, 163 nt
Organism: Otolemur garnettii (small-eared galago)
Lineage: Eukaryota; Metazoa; Chordata; Mammalia; Primates; Galagidae
Gene: U1
Rfam family: U1 spliceosomal RNA
About the family: U1 is a small nuclear RNA (snRNA) component of the spliceosome (involved in pre-mRNA splicing).
Source: Ensembl
AUACUUACCUGGCGGGGAGAUACCAUGAUCACGAAGGUGGUUUUCCCAGGGCGAGGCUUACCCAUUACACUCCAGAUGUCCUGACCCCUGCGAUUUCUCCAAAUAUGGGAAACUCAACUGCAUAAUUUGUGGUAGUGAGGGACUGUGUUUGCACUUUCCCCUG